Molecule: non-coding RNA, 73 nt
Organism: Bos taurus (domestic cattle)
Lineage: Eukaryota; Metazoa; Chordata; Mammalia; Artiodactyla; Bovidae
Source: Rfam
UCCCUGAUAGCUCUGUUGGUAAAGAAUCUGCCUGCAAUGCAGGACACCCCAGGUUCAAUUCCUGGGUCGGGAA